CCCUAACUGACAAGAAUAUUCAUUAACGGUUUUGCCCCAGGGCUUUGUUAACUCUUCUGCCUUUUAUCAUAAUACAGUCUAAAGUGAUCUGGGCUUUCUGGAGAUCUCACAGAACAUCACACUGAUUCAUGACAUCGAUGACAUGCUGAAUGGACAGGUUAAGCAAGAGGCAACUAAUAGUCUGGAGGCCUUGGUAAGACAACUGUGCUCCAUUGGGCAGGAGACAAGCCCCAGGAGACUCAGCAACCUACUACCUAAGGAAAUUUUUGAGAGGUCCUGUACUCCGGUGUUUACCAAGACAUCCUGUCCAAGGUAAAAGACAAAUUUCUGAAUCUUGCAUUCCCUACUUCAAAGAUGGAAACAUAAUGUUUGGUGAGCCAUUUUGGGUUCUGAAGGCAACAUGUUACACAUCUAGGAAUACUUCUCUGGGUCAUAUACUGAGUGAUAUGGAAAGCCUGUCAAUCACGACUGGUGCCCGGACCAAGAGUGAGCUCAGCAGGAAAUCUAAGCUGCAGUGCCAGCAGCUUUUCUGCUUGGGCCAUAUGAUUCAGGAGAUCCUAUGGUGUUGAUGAUGUCAGAAAUGGAAAAAGCUGCACUGUGGCAAGCCCCAGUAAGGGAAUCACAGCACAAGCCGUUGGAGUUCUGGAGCAAGGUCAUGCCAUCUGCAGUGGAGAAUUAUUUGCCCUAUUAGAGCUGGAAUGCUUGACCAUGGGACACCGAGUGACUAUGCAUCCACAUUUGCCCAUUAUGAAUUGGUUUUUGUGAGACCCACCAAGCCAUAAAGUAAAAUAGGCUCAGAAGAAGUCCACAGUAAGAUGGAAAUGGAAUGUCUGGUAUUGAGGCUAAGCAAGACCAAAAGGUGUUAAGUAAGCUGCAUGAACGGGUAGCCUUGAUACCCUUGUUCUCACCCUGGUUACACUAGUGACCCUCCUUCAUCUUGCACAUAUGACCAUCUGUGUGAGAAUCUAAUACAACCAGAGGAAGAACCAAGACUUUGAGAUGAGCUGUCAUGGUCUGUGAAUGCAAGCUGAAAAUGGGAAGCAGCUUCAGUACAGCCACAUUCAGGGUUGACCUUGAGAGACACUGGAGACAGGAGCCUUCCCAAUGUGCAAAGCUGGGAGCAGUGCAUCCUGUCAUUGACUGUGGAAGAAAAAGUAACUCAAAGUGAAGUAUAUGGAUUCCUAGGUAGGUGCCAAUGGACUCUCUUCUAGUCACCUGGAAGGAAAAAACAAAACAAAACAAAACUGGAGGAUAAGAGUGAAGGAGGUCUGGUUGGAGUGAAUAUUGUGAAGAUUUGUAGAUCAUAUACUAAUGUCCAUCAGAAACCACCCAUGGAGGAGAUACUCAACAACCAACCAGACACAAGGACUUGGCCAAUUGAUAUUAACCAACCUUCAUCAUUGAUCCUCCCAGAAUUGGCACAUUGAAGAGGCCUAGACAAGGGUAGAGACAGAAGCUGUGCAUGACCUCAACAGCAUGCAUGCCCAUUACCAAGGCUGAUGUAGCUGCUGCCACUUCUGAAGUUCCAAUCUGCCAGCAAAAGAGACCAAACUGAGUUCCCUAAACGGCACUAUUCUUUGAAGAGGCCAACCUAUCAUUGUAUGGCAAGUAAACUAUGCUGGGCUCCUUCCAUGCUGGAAGAGCCAGUGGUUCAUCUUCAGAGGGAAAGAUAAUUAUUUGGGGUAUGGGUUUGUUUUUCUUGCUCACAGAGCCUCAGCCAACACUACUAUCUAGGGACUUGCAGAAUGCCUGAUUCACAGGCAUAAAAUCUUACACAUCAUGGCAGCCAACCAGGGGACCCAUUCCACAGCAAAGGAGGUGUGGUGGGCCCACGAUCAUGGGAUCUGCUCAUUAUAUCGUAUACAGCACCACCCAAAAGAAGUGGUCUUCCACUGGUGCCUUCCAAAGGGGCAAAUGAAGUGCCAUCUUGCUGUCAAUACCCUGCAAAAUGGGGUGCCUUCCUUUGGGAUGCACUAUGGACACUAAAUCAGAAAACUUUAUAUAGUGUUGUGUCUUCUAUAGGAAACAUAGAAGCAUCUGAGACCCAAAGAGUGGAAGCAAAAGAGGCCUCACUUAUUACCACUCAGUGACCACUGAGGGAUGAGGUGCUUCUUGGACAACUCUGGGAUCACAGAGGUUAGAGAUCCUGGUAUCCAAUGGGGCACGCUCUUAUCAGGGGACACAGCAAAGGUUCCAUUGAACUAAAUGUUACGACUAUUUCCAGGGAACUUUGGAUUCCCUAUAACCAUGUUCCAGCAUGUAAGAAGAGUCACCAAUGUGACAGGGAUAAUUGACCCUGACCAGCAGAAGCAUGAGGUAGGACAGCCCAUCUCAUGCUCAUAAAGAAGAGCAGGACAGAAUAAUGUGCAACCCAGGUAACCAAUUCAGGUACUUCUUGACAGAUCUUGCUCAGUGGAAAUAGUGAACAGACAUGUGUGGCAACCCCAACCUGACUUGGGUACAAUUACCAAGGGCUCAGACCCAGUAGGAAUGAGAGUUUGGGUCACAGCACCAAGUAUGUCAUCAAGACUUUCCCUCAGGAAGAGAGAUCCACAGUUCCACAUAUACAGGGAGCAAAGGAUCUGAGCAGCACAAAGGGGUGGAUUGGGACAUUCAUCCUCAGAGCCUCCUUCUCGAAAACCUGCUGCAACUGUCCAAGCUGGGUCAAUGCUCUCCCCAGGCUGCACUGGCCAGUGACUGGGUAUGGUUGUACUAGAGACGGUCCAUUUCUGCCUGAUGCAGGACUCAUCUAAUGGGCAACCUUCUAGUCUAGAGUUGACUGACUUUCUCAGCACUGUGCCAAGAUCUGAGAUUCUUCCACUCCAUCUUUCUUCCAUGUCUCCUUAAACAGUUCCAAAGCUGCUUACACAGAGUUGAGAUGACACAGAGUUUAUGUGAGACAUACUUGACCACAUCAUCAAUGGGCCAAGGGUUUCCAUGAAUAUGUAAGGCCCACAUUUUGGUAAAGCUGUCCUGGUAGUGAUAUCAAAAUGUUAUGUUCCAUUCCAAUUUCAAUGCAUUAAAACAAAAUUCUUAUCAGAGGACCAUUGGUUGUUCAAGAGCACAUCUCAGGAAUCCUUUCUAGUAAGAUGAGAGUGCAGCCUGGCCUGGCACAACACCAAAUCCCCAGUAGGAGGUCAGGAUUGGAAAAAAGGACAGUUGAACUCUCGUUUGGAGCCGCCUGAUGGAAAACAUAACUGGUUUCAUCACUUAUAGUCAAGACCAGAAGAGAGAGAAAAGAUGAAGUUAGGAAUGGAGUCGGUGAAGGCCCCAGGCAGCAGCACUCCUGGAAUCUGACAGCAGGCACUCAGCCCAGCCACUUUUUCACUCUCUUGUAAUCCAGAAGAAAUAACAACAACACUCCAUACCCCCUGAGAUCUGCAAGUUUAGAACACUGAUUCCACCAGCGUUUGAAAUCUUAGGUUGGAACAGAAAUUGGAGAGCAUUCGAAUGAGGACUGCAGAGACAGCCACAAGAGAAACCAACUCUAGGAUGGCCAAAAAAGGAACCAUUUUCUCUUACUGCCUGGGAUACAUGUACCUCUAAGUGGAAAGAAGAAACCUAGGAAGAAAAAUUUUUGUUCUCUGAGCUGCUCUGCUAUUGUAGGAAAUAGAGAAACAUAAUAGUCAUUAUGUUUACUAUUUAUCUUUCCAAAAGGGGUAAAAAGGUUUUAAUCAAAAUCAUUACCCUCUUAGAGGAGUGGAAUAAAGAAUAUGUGUGUUGGGAGGGAAAUCUUUACUUUGUAAAAGCUGCCAUCCUCAGCAGCCUAGAUUAAAUACACACACAUCGUUUAUGAUAUAUUUAUUGACUCAACAAAUAUUACUAAGUGUUUCUGAUAUGUCAGGAAGCCCACCUGGCAGUUAGAUACAAUGGUGACCAAACACAGAAGGUCCUAAAAUCUUUAGCUUCAGGAAAUGGUCCAAACACUGGACGUUCUUGCUCUUGGGGUUUAUUAAUGACUUCUGAAAACUUCCACCAAGGGAGAAAAUCUGCAGGACAAGGUGGACUCAUAAGAAAAAGCAAGGUGUCCACAAAAGAAGGUGCUAGCAAACAGGUCAGAUAUUUCAAAGCUGUUUUAAUGGGCUUAGAGGGUGUUUAGUUACAGAAGAGCAUGGAGGUGAGAGGGAUAAGCUAGCAUAGCAGAGGCAAAAAUGCCAAGCACCCUGGAACUAAGAGCUGGACUCUCUGGCACUCAUCUCAGUAUUGUCCCUUUUUCAUCUAACAUUUUGUCAUUUGGUGAGCUGACCAUUGCAGCAUCCAGGACAGGCUGAUCUGACCUUGACUGAUAAUAUCUGGUUUCAGUGAGGUAAUGUGGACGAUGGCAAACGUCUGUCAUUUGCAUAAAUCAUUUUAAAGAUGAUUUGAGGCAAGAGUUGCUGAUGUCCUAGGAAAAAUGUAAAAAGGCUCUCAUUUUUCAUGUUGUUUGGUUAUUAAGCUCAAAAAUACUAGACAUAGUCUUAUAUGAUGAAAAUACAUUGUGUUGAGAUGGCUUGGUAUUUCCUCCUUCCAUGUGAAACAUGCCACAUUCAUCUCUCAGGGAAAGUUAUUGGGCAAACAUCACAUCUAUUUUUAACUAAAGGCAAACUGCUAUGGAACUCAAACCAGAUGCUUGGCUGCAUACCGUCUGUCUGGGUUGCAAUCGCUUAAUGUACAACUACUUGUAAUACUCAAGUCCUCAGUACUUAACUUGUCCUGUCUGCCUGCCUCUGGCUAUUGGCCUGAUUUUGCCUCUGUUGGAUUUUCUUUUUUUUUUUUUCUUAGAUAAUUCCCAACCCAAACCCAUAAGAAGUAAUCAUGGGGGAAGAGAGGAAAAAAUAAAACCAGAUGAAAUCAGAGAGGGAGACAAACCAUAAGAGAUUCAUAAUCAUAGGAAACAAACUGAAGGGUGUACCAGUUGUGAUUCCUCCGUUGGCUCAGAAUAAAAGGUGGGAAUGAUCAUGUAUGGUGAUUCUGAAGAACUCAUUGCAGAAACACGGGGCGCCUGGAUGGCUCAGGUGGUUAAGUGAUUGCCUUCGACUCAGGUCAUGAUCCCGGGGUCCUGAGAUCAAGCCCUAUGUCAGGCUCCCUGCUGAGCAGGGAGUCUGCUUCUCCCUUUUCCCUCUAUGCUUUUGCACAGACUCU
Long non-coding RNA from Canis lupus familiaris (dog), 5121 nucleotides. RefSeq lists it as uncharacterized. The transcript has 7 exons. The record is from RefSeq and is a predicted model, not a curated record. NCBI's taxonomy places the organism in Eukaryota, Metazoa, Chordata, Mammalia, Carnivora, Canidae.